RNAcentral lists this ribosomal RNA (367 nucleotides) under uncultured organism. RNAcentral's name for it is "bacterial SSU rRNA". It matches the Rfam family "Bacterial small subunit ribosomal RNA", at positions 526 to 896 of the family's 1533-position model. The record is from RNAcentral.
CGAAGGACCCGAGCGUUAUCCGGAUUUAUUGGGUUUAAAGGGUGCGUAGGCGGACUAGUAAGUCAGUGGUGAAAGCCCAUCGCUUAACGGUGGAAUUGCCAUUGAUACUGCUAGUCUUGAGUAUGGUUGAGGUGGCGGAAUGUGUCAUGUAGCGGUGAAAUGCUUAGAUAUGACCCAGAACACCAAUUGCGAAGGCAGCUCGCUAAGCCAUAACUGACGCUGAGGCACGAAAGCGUGGGGAGCAAACAGGAUUAGAUACCCUGGUAGUCCACGCCCUAAACUAUGAUAACUCGUUGUUGGCGAUACACAGUCAGCGACUAAGCGAAAGCAUUAAGUUAUCCACCUGGGAAGUACGACCGCAAGGUUG